RNAcentral lists this ribosomal RNA (534 nucleotides) under Hepatozoon felis. RNAcentral describes it as "bacterial SSU rRNA". It matches the Rfam family "Eukaryotic small subunit ribosomal RNA", at positions 468 to 999 of the family's 1831-position model. Lineage: Eukaryota; Apicomplexa; Hepatozoidae. The record is from RNAcentral.
UGACAAGAAAUAACAAUACAAGGCAGUUAAAAUGCUUUGUAAUUGGAAUGAUAGAAAUUUAAACACUUUUUAAAGUAUCAAUUGGAGGGCAAGUCUGGUGCCAGCAGCCGCGGUAAUUCCAGCUCCAAUAGCGUAUAUUAAAAUUGUUGCAGUUAAAAAGCUCGUAGUUGAAUUUCUGUUAAAAAUAACCGGUCUGCUUUUAAUAAAAGUGGUAUCUUGGUGUGUUUUUAGCAAUAAUGUCCUUUGAAAUGUUUUUUACUUUAUUGUAAUAAAUAAUAUUCAGGAUUUUUACUUUGAGAAAAUUAGAGUGUUUCUAGCAGGCUAACGCUUUGAAUACUGCAGCAUGGAAUAAUAAGAUAGGAUUUUAGUUCUACAUUAUUGGUUUUAAGAACUAAAUUAAUGAUUGAUAGGGACAGUUGGGGGCAUUUGUAUUUAACUGUCAGAGGUGAAAUUCUUAGAUUUGUUAAAGACAAACUACUGCGAAAGCAUUUGCCAAAGAUGUUUUCAUUAAUCAAGAACGAAAGUUAGGGGAUC